CGCCAAACUGCUCCCAGGAAUGCUUGUGAUGGAGAACAAAUUGCUAACAGAAGUUGCUGUGUUCUUGGUCAUCACUGCAGUAGCUGAAAACUUGCUUUCAUGGGCCAGACAAGGCAAAAGCCAGAGCUGGGAGAUGUGCACUGACUGCCUGGUAUGGACACACUUGCAAGGACAAACUCGGUGCCUUCAAAGAAACUACCUGACGCUGGAUCAGCGUUCUCUGUCUGUCCAGUUUUGAAUUCCUAUUUUCAUGCUGAAGCUGCAACACCAGCUCCCUCCAAGUUCAAGAGGUUUAAUGAAUCCUGCUCUGGGAGCCCAUCGGCGUGAGGGCGGCGUGCCCCGUGGAGGUGCUGAGCUGGUGAUGCCGAGAGCUGCUGGAAAUCUGCAAUCUCAGGGAGCCCCACACCGAUGGCAGGGAUGAAAAACUUCAUGGGAAUAAGGAACGCCACGGGAUAACAAGGUGGGAUGCUGGAGGUGCCAAGGGUGACACUAACAGGGACAAAACUUCUCAUUCACUCCUCCCUGCCCAGUCCCCUCCACCCGUGCCACACACAC
RNAcentral lists this long non-coding RNA (555 nucleotides) under Calidris pugnax (ruff). Its description in RNAcentral is "lncRNA (ENSCPUG00000013289.1)". Lineage: Eukaryota; Metazoa; Chordata; Aves; Charadriiformes; Scolopacidae. The record is from RNAcentral.